GAAUGGGUUUUCAUUGUUGGUAAAUGGAGCUGAGCUGUAAACUCAGUGGUUUACACCUUCAUGGGUUCGAUUCCCUUCUCAUUCA
This 85-nucleotide transfer RNA is filed under the name Magnusiomyces tetraspermus. RNAcentral describes it as "tRNA-Tyr". It matches the Rfam family "tRNA". Rfam says of the family: Transfer RNA (tRNA) molecules are approximately 80 nucleotides in length. Their secondary structure includes four short double-helical elements and three loops (D, anti-codon, and T loops). Further hydrogen bonds mediate the characteristic L-shaped molecular structure. tRNAs have two regions of fundamental functional importance: the anti-codon, which is responsible for specific mRNA codon recognition, and the 3' end, to which the tRNAs corresponding amino acid is attached (by aminoacyl-tRNA synthetases). tRNAs cope with the degeneracy of the genetic code in two manners: having more than one tRNA (with a specific anti-codon) for a particular amino acid; and 'wobble' base-pairing, i.e. permitting non-standard base-pairing at the 3rd anti-codon position. Lineage: Eukaryota; Fungi; Ascomycota; Dipodascomycetes; Dipodascales; Dipodascaceae. The record is from RNAcentral.